Molecule: long non-coding RNA, 887 nt
Organism: Suricata suricatta (meerkat)
Lineage: Eukaryota; Metazoa; Chordata; Mammalia; Carnivora; Herpestidae
Exons: 2
Source: RefSeq, a predicted model, not a curated record
AAUAAUGAAGUAAUGUUUAUCAUGGCAGAUAUCUACUAUUUAUUGAGUGCUCGUUUACGUGUAAAGCAUUGUUAUAAGCCUUUUAAGUGUAUGACUUCCUCAAUUCACAUAAUCACCUUAAGAAGUAGGUAGUUGUGGUGUUCAUUCUGGUGAUCAGAAAACUGAGGCACAUAAUGGUCAAGUAACAUGUCCAAGUUUACAGAGUAAUGAAUGAGUGGUAUAAUCUGAAUUGUAACCUAGUAAUCUGAUUCCAGAAACCAUGUUCAUACUGCAACAUCAACUGAAGGAGCAAUGGAGGAUUUGAGCUGUUCUGGAUUCAUUCUAUGAUGCUUAGAUCUCUCUGCUGAAGCUGACCCAGAAAUGUUGGAUUAAUCCCUGUAAUCCAUGUAUAACACCAUGUAACCCAGUGAUGCUUUCAGUUCCCAGUUCCCAGUUCUCGGCCACUGAGAGAAAAAAGGAAUUUUACCAGGCACAGAUUUGAAACUACAUCGGAGAGCAUAAUAUGCUGAUGUCAAGGACAGAUCAUCAAAUGGCGAUCAGGGCUGACAAGUUAACCUGUCACAGUUUCAUGGGUGCUGGGAGAAGACAUGAGAUCCCUGGACCAGAGGAAAGGAUGUUUUCAUUCACAGAGCAGCAAACAACAUGAGCAUCAGCAUAUUUGUGUCCAUUCCCCUUGCCCCUCAAGUCCCACAAGGAUGUUGCAGAUGUGCCCAAAUGGAUGCCUGCACAAACAGAGGAUUGCAGGACAGGAACUCCAACUGAAGUGUCCUGAUCUUUUACCUGGAUAAUAAGCAUGCUUACCCUUUGCUCUGGAGGCAGACAUUAUCUCUCUCUUCUAAGGCUGUUUGCUAUGAAAAUAUCCUGAAAUAAAGGACUUUGAGAAAGAA